AUGAUAACUUUAGUUCUGGGCUUUGACAUGGAUUUCCGCCACCCUGCAUCUGUGCUAGCUCUGUUGCUUUGCCUAGCAGUUGAGGAUUUGCAUGAGGCCAGAGCACAGCCCACUUGGCCUGAGAACUUCUUUAAGGCUGCUCAAAUUCUGUGUGUCAGUCAGUCCCAGUCAGCACAUACCAUGGACAUGAGGGCCCCUGCCCAGCUCCUGGGGCUCCUGCUGCUCUGGCUCCCAGAUGCGAGGUGUGGCAUCCAGAUGACCCAGUCCCCAUCCACCUUGUCUGCAUCUGUAGGAGGCACAGCCACCAUCACUUGCAGAGCCAGUGAAAACAUUUAUGGCUAUUUAGCCUGGUACCAGCAGAAAAUAGGGAAAGCCCCUAAACUCCUGAUCUAUGAUAGUAGUACUUUGGCAUCUGGUAUUCCAUCCAGGUUCAGUGGCAGUGGGUAUGAAACAGAGUUCACUCUCACCGUCAGCAGUCUGCAGCCUGAAGAUGUUGCCACUUAUUAUUGUCAACAGCAUAGCAACUCUCCUCCCACAGUGAUAUAAGCCAUGACAAAAACCUCUCAGGGUAA
Non-coding RNA from Dipodomys ordii (Ord's kangaroo rat), 572 nucleotides. Lineage: Eukaryota; Metazoa; Chordata; Mammalia; Rodentia; Heteromyidae. The record is from the annotation of a RefSeq genome assembly.